CCUACGGGAGGCAGCAGUGGGGGAUAUUGCACAAUGGGGGGAACCCUGAUGCAGCGACGCCGCGUGGGUGAAGAAACGCCUCGGCGCGUAAAGCCCUGUCAGCAGGGAAGAAAAUGACGGUACCUGAAGAAGAAGCCCCGGCUAACUACGUGCCAGCAGCCGAGGUACUACGUAGGGGGCAAGCGUUAUCCGGGUUUACUGGGCGUAAAGGGGGCGCAGACGGCGAUGCACGCCAGGAGUGAAAGCCCGGGGCCCAACCCCGGGACUGCCCUUGGAACUGGGUGGCUGGAGUGCAGGAGGGGCAGGCGGAAUUCCUGGUGUAGCGGUGAAAGGCGUAGAUAUCAGGAGGAACACCGGUGGCGAAGGCGGCCUGCUGGACUGCAACUGACGUUGAGGCCCGAAAGCGUGGGGAGCAAACAGGAUUAGAUACCCCAGUAGUC
Molecule: ribosomal RNA, 440 nt
Filed under: uncultured bacterium
Lineage: Bacteria
Description: partial 16S ribosomal RNA
Rfam family: Bacterial small subunit ribosomal RNA
Source: RNAcentral